RNAcentral lists this ribosomal RNA (522 nucleotides) under uncultured Glomeromycotina. RNAcentral describes it as "SSU rRNA". It matches the Rfam family "Eukaryotic small subunit ribosomal RNA", at positions 569 to 1092 of the family's 1831-position model. The record is from RNAcentral. Lineage: Eukaryota; Fungi; Glomeromycota.
AGCAGCCGCGGUAAUUCCAGCUCCAAUAGCGUAUAUUAAAGUUGUUGCAGUUAAAAAGCUCGUAGUUGAAUUUCGGGGUUAGUAGGUUGGUCAUGCCUCUGGUAUGUACUGGUCUCACUGAUUCCUCCUUCCUGAUGAGCCGUAAUGCCAUUAAUUUGGUGUUGCGGGGAGUUUGGACUGUUACUUUGAAAAAAUUAGAGUGUUUAAAGCAAGCUAACGCUUGAAUACAUUAGCAUGGAAUAAUGAAAUAGGACGUUCGAUCCUAUUUUGUUGGUUUCUAGGAUUGACGUAAUGAUUAAUAGGGAUAGUUGGGGGCAUUAGUAUUCAAUUGUCAGAGGUGAAAUUCUUGGAUUUAUUGAAGACUAACUACUGCGAAAGCAUUUGCCAAGGAUGUUUUCAUUAAUCAAGAACGAAAGUUAGGGGAUCGAAGACGAUCAGAUACCGUCGUAGUCUUAACCAUAAACUAUGCCGACUAGGGAUCGGAUGAUGUUAAUUUUUUAAUGACUCAUUCGGCGCCUUACG